Long non-coding RNA from Triplophysa rosa, 2187 nucleotides. RefSeq lists it as uncharacterized. The record is from RefSeq and is a predicted model, not a curated record. Lineage: Eukaryota; Metazoa; Chordata; Actinopteri; Cypriniformes; Nemacheilidae. The transcript has 3 exons.
UUCGUGCUAGCGAACAUGAUAAUCAUGCUAAUAACAUAAUAAACCCGGUUUUUACACACUGGGGUCACAUUAUUUUUCCCAUCAUGUUCGAAAAAGUUUAACAAUAAAACCUUUAAAACUAUUUCCUACUCUUCAGGACAGGCUUUGUCAAGCCAACAUAAAGUUUGUACUCGAACUUUACAAUCUAGUUGUUUUAUACUGUUGUACGAGGUCUACUUAUGACGUUCGCGUGGUUUUUACAUUCAAAAUCAUAAAAAUCAAUAAGUAAUGGGUUAUUUUCUACCCAGGUUUUGAGGCCAGCUCUGAAAACACUCGGUUUUAAUGGGCGUGCCGCAUUGAAGACACUUGGAAGUAAAUGCCCACCACUUUGAUUUAGUAGCAGUUUGCGUAGUUGGAGCCUUCUGUGAAUUUGGUUAGAGACGUAGCGUUAGGUUACACAUUAGCACCAUUCACAGUUUUCGCAGGGCAUUAGUAUUAUCUGGAGACCUCCUGUGAUUUAUAAAUGACCUCCCCACAUCAGUAUUUCAUGCGACGUAUUCGCACGGGAUGUGAUGGCAAGGCUUUGUGUAUAGUUUGUAUAGCCUAUAGUUGUAUUGCGUUUAAUGAUAUAUGGCCGUACCUGUCAGCAUUUGAGACCAGUGAUCCCGAACCGGACAAAAGAUCACCGCGAUCACAGGUCUCAAAUGUCAAGCCGCCAUUAUUUGCAAACGGUGUAUAAAACCUUGAAAACUUAUAUAUGAGCCCACCAAAUCACAGAAAUGGCAAUUCGCACGGGCUUAAGAUCACAGACAACCUCUGCAAUUAAUACAAAUGAAUAGUGCUCAGGGCACAUCAAGCGAUCUCUAACAAAGCAAUAGAGACGCAUAGUACAAACAUGUUUUACUCACAUAAGAUUGCUGCGCCAUUCCUAUCGGAUCCAAUAUUGACGGCACAGACAGCACUGCUUUUUAAUUCGACCUGUGCCUUGUUCACGAAGGAAUCUUCAGAGAAAUUAAACGAACAAACGCUCCAUGUUUUUCCCACAUGAGCUGGAACGUCUUUAAAACUAAACUUUAACCACACAUUCCUAUCGGAAUCCAAAGGAAGGUUAUGCAGCGACUGUAUUCUUCCACAACUAGGGAUGGCACAAUAUUUAGCUAUCUUUAACGGCAUGUUUGUUUAUUGCUUGCUCGCUCUAUCUGGAUCCGCGCCACUGGUUCUGUCAUGCGCGAACCAGUGGGCGGGGCUAGACAAGUAGUCAUUGAUAUUUUUUCUUUUGGAGGCGGUGUUCAACCUAUCAAUAGGUGCAUUCCAGAACCUGGCGUUCGCUGAGCCUGGUGUCAAUAACAGAUGUAAUCUUAGUAACAAGGGCGUUUUCAGUUCUGACACUUACAUGAUGUUCGCGUGAAUACGAUUCCCUCUUAUAUAACAAAAACUCGGGUUAAAAUUGUGAUUUUAAUUCAUCGCACCUUUAAAUUGCGCGUGCUCGCCAAGUCUACGAGUCCGUAAGGUGUCCCAUUUUUAUUUUUAGCUCUCAGAAGUCUGCUCGCGAGCACCGUCUUUGUGCCCUCGAUGCGGUCUUCGGCGAAGCCCGCAUUGAUGCAGACUCCACUGAAGUUACCUACCCAGGAAUCCUUGCGAUUGCCCAAUCACAGAACGGAUGGGAGGAGUGUCGUGGACGUCAGACAUAUACGUAAACAUUACAGAUACAUUUUCAAAUACACAUUUUAGGUGUAAUGGGUUUGGACUGCCUGAUGACUUGUGACCAGGCCAAGAAGAAAUGGGAGAACCUCAAAUUCAAAUACAAGGCGGACCAGAGGGAUCCUCAAUCAUCAGUGAAACAGAGAAACAUGCAAAGUGUGACAUGCCUUCAGUGGUAAUAACUCAUUCCCCAUCAGGAGAUAACCAGUGCUCAGCAGCAGGCACCCAAUCCACAGAAGCCGAGCCUGGGCCAUCUGUAAUUUCAGAGAAAUAAAAAAGAGAGGUAAAGAAAAAAGAAAACAAAAAGCAAAGAAAUUAAGUGCUUGAGUAUAUCCGGGAAAAGGAAGAAAAACGACUAAAGGAGGAGUAAGACAAAGAAGAAAGAAAAGCAGACCAGACCUCAAAACAGAUCUAUCUAUCUAUAGAAAAUGUAAAUACAUUUUUUUGUUUCUUUUAUUCUUUUUUAAAUUGGUAUCACUUAUUUUUUUGAGUUUAUUAACAGUGUCU